This 253-nucleotide ribosomal RNA is filed under the name uncultured bacterium. RNAcentral's name for it is "partial 16S ribosomal RNA". It matches the Rfam family "Bacterial small subunit ribosomal RNA", at positions 524 to 776 of the family's 1533-position model. The record is from RNAcentral.
UACGUAGGGUGCAAGCGUUGUCCGGAAUUAUUGGGCGUAAAGAGCUCGUAGGCGGCCUGUUGCGUCGGCUGUGAAAACCCGGGGCUCAACCCCGGGCCUGCAGUCGAUACGGGCAGGCUAGAGUCCGGCAGGGGAGACUGGAAUUCCUGGUGUAGCGGUGAAAUGCGCAGAUAUCAGGAGGAACACCGGUGGCGAAGGCGGCAUCCUGGACCGGCAUUGACGCUGAGGCGCGAAAGCCAGGGGAGCAAACGGG